This is a long non-coding RNA of Folsomia candida, 394 nucleotides long. RefSeq lists it as uncharacterized. The record is from RefSeq and is a predicted model, not a curated record. NCBI's taxonomy places the organism in Eukaryota, Metazoa, Arthropoda, Collembola, Entomobryomorpha, Isotomidae. The transcript has 2 exons.
CAAAUUAUGUCGUUCCACUUUAAUCCGCCAAAAAAUUUGAAGAAACACAAACAUCCAUAAAUAAAAUAGCGAGGAAAAUGCAAUUUCUGCUAACUCUUCUCGUCAUUGCGUGUGCCGUCGUUUUGGCGAUGGCGAUGCCAAAUCCGUCCUGGGAGUUGCAACCGAACGGAGACUUUGGAUAUUCCAUGGGCGGAGGUUCCUACCUGGGGACAGAUGGGUCGUAUAAUGUUUGGGGGAAAAAGUAGAUUUUCAGUAAAUCAGAUGGUGACCUGAUGUAAAUUCCAAGUAUCAACUUUAAAAUUAAAUUUAAAUCAAAUGUUAAAUUUUAAAUUGUAAAUUUUAUUGAUAAAACUGAUCUGAAAUAAUUAUAAAGCAAAAUGCAAUGAUGCUGUAA